UGAACUGUGUGGCUCAGGUGGUAGGAGUAAAGAAUAGAGGUUAGUUGAACUGUGUGGCUUAGGUGGUAAGAGUAAAGAAUAGAGGUUAGUUGAACUGUGUGGCUCAGGUGGUAAGAGUAAAGAAUAGAGGUUAGUUGAACUGUGUGGCUCAGGUGGUAAGAGUAAAGAAUAGAGGUUAGUUGAACUGUGUGGCUCAGGUGGUAAGAGUAAAGAAUAGAGGUUAGUUGAACUGUGUGGCUCAGGUGGUAAGAGUAAAGAAUAGAGGUUAGUUGAACUGAGUGGCUCAGGUGGUAAGAGUAAAGAAUAGAGGUUAGUUGAACUGUGUGGCUCAGGUGGUAAGAGUAAAGAAUAGAGGUUAGUUGAACUGAGUGGCUCAGGUGGUAAGAGUAAAGAAUAGAGGUUAGUUGAACUGUGUGGCUCAGGUGGUAAGAGUAAAGAAUAGAGGUUAGUUGAACUGAGUGGCUCAGGUGGUAAGAGUAAAGAAUAGAGGUUAGUUGAACUGUGUGGCUCAGGUGGUAAGAGUAAAGAAUAGAGGUUAGUUGAACUGAGUGGCUCAGGUGGUAAGAGUAAAGAAUAGAGGUUAGUUGAACUGUGUGGCUCAGGUGGUAAGAGUAAAGAAUAGAGGUUAGUUGAACUGAGUGGCUCAGGUGGUAAGAGUAAAGAAUAGAGGUUAGUUGAACUGUGUGGCUCAGGUGGUAAGAGUAAAGAAUAGAGGUUAGUUGAACUGUGUGGCUCAGGUGGUAAGAGUAAAGAAUAGAGGUUAGUUGAACUGUGUGGCUCAGGUGGUAAGAGUAAAGAAUAGAGGUUAGUUGAACUGAGUGGCUCAGGUGGUAAGAGUAAAGAAUAGAGGUUAGUUGAACUGUGUGGCUCAGGUGGUAAGAGUAAAGAAUAGAGGUUAGUUGAACUGAGUGGCUCAGGUGGUAAGAGUAAAGAAUAGAGGUUAGUUGAACUGUGUGGCUCAGGUGGUAAGAGUAAAGAAUAGAGGUUAGUUGAACUGAGUGGCUCAGGUGGUAAGAGUAAAGAAUAGAGGUUAGUUGAACUGAGUGGCUCAGGUGG
Long non-coding RNA from Oncorhynchus keta (chum salmon), 1056 nucleotides. RefSeq lists it as uncharacterized. The transcript is spliced from 3 exons. The record is from RefSeq and is a predicted model, not a curated record. Lineage: Eukaryota; Metazoa; Chordata; Actinopteri; Salmoniformes; Salmonidae.